CACGGGGGGAGCAAGCGUUGUUCGGAAUCACUGGGCGUAAAGGGCGUGUAGGCGGUCAAGUAAGUGGAAUGUGAAAGCCCCCGGCUUACCCGGGGAUCUGCAUCCCAAACUGCUUGGCUUGAGUACGGGAGAGGAUAGGGGAAUUCCUGGUGUAGCGGUGAAAUGCGUAGAUAUCAGGAGGAACACCGGUGGUGUAGACGGCUUUCUGGACAAUCACUGACGCUGAGGUACGAAAGCGUGGGUAGCAAACAGG
Molecule: ribosomal RNA, 253 nt
Filed under: uncultured bacterium
Lineage: Bacteria
Description: partial 16S ribosomal RNA
Rfam family: Bacterial small subunit ribosomal RNA
Source: RNAcentral